UCCGUGCCAGCAGCCGCGGUAAUACGGAGGGUGCAGAGCGUUAAUCGGAAUUACUGGGCGUAAAGGGUGCGUAGGUGGUUGAUUAAGUUAUCUGUGAAAUUCCUGGGCUUAACCUGGGACGGUCAGAUAAUACUGGUUGACUCGAGUAUGGGAGAGGGUAGUGGAAUUUCCGGUGUAGCGGUGAAAUGCGUAGAGAUCGGAAGGAACACCAGUGGCGAAGGCGGCUACCUGGCCUAAUACUGACACUGAGGCACGAAAGCGUGGGGAGCAAACAGGAUUAGAUACCCUGGUAGUCCACGCUGUAAACGAUGUCAACU
RNAcentral lists this ribosomal RNA (317 nucleotides) under uncultured Legionella sp. RNAcentral describes it as "bacterial SSU rRNA". It matches the Rfam family "Bacterial small subunit ribosomal RNA", at positions 502 to 817 of the family's 1533-position model. The record is from RNAcentral. Lineage: Bacteria; Pseudomonadati; Pseudomonadota; Gammaproteobacteria; Legionellales; Legionellaceae.